AUGGCGGCGCUUCGAGUCGCGGCGAGGAGGCUCGUCGGCGGUGGCCAGACGCCGGCGGUGGCUGUGGACAAGGCGCAGCGCCGGCUCUUCCCGAGGCUCUCCCAGGUCGGCCGGGCUAGGUCCACCACAUCCUCCGCUGCUGCUGCUGCUGCCGCAGACACCAAUGUGGCGGCGACCAAGGGCUGUGAAGAUCGGGAGAAACUCCUGAGAGAGAUCCAUAACAUGAGAGAGGAGCUGUAUGACAAGGUUUCGCACGCGGAAAGGACCUACAGUAUCCCUGGCAGGGCAGGCAAACAUAUCAGUCGGCUGCAUGAGGAGCUCGCCGUGCAAGUGGAUCCUAGACCCGGGGACAGCACAUGCUGGUAUGUGCUCAUGGGCAUGGCCGCUGGUAAGAUCGUUGAAUUGGAUCCAGAUGAAAAGCAAUGGAUCCAGAAGAAAAGAGGGGAGGCGCGCAAGCAAAGUGAAACAAAAUGA
This 474-nucleotide ribosomal RNA is filed under the name Triticum aestivum (bread wheat). Its description in RNAcentral is "partial small subunit ribosomal RNA". Lineage: Eukaryota; Viridiplantae; Streptophyta; Magnoliopsida; Poales; Poaceae. The record is from RNAcentral.